Molecule: ribosomal RNA, 1458 nt
Filed under: Staphylococcus aureus
Lineage: Bacteria; Bacillati; Bacillota; Bacilli; Caryophanales; Staphylococcaceae
Description: partial 23S ribosomal RNA
Rfam family: Bacterial large subunit ribosomal RNA
Source: RNAcentral
GAUUAAGUUAUUAAGGGCGCACGGUGGAUGCCUUGGCACUAGAAGCCGAUGAAGGACGUUACUAACGACGAUAUGCUUUGGGGAGCUGUAAGUAAGCUUUGAUCCAGAGAUUUCCGAAUGGGGAAACCCAGCAUGAGUUAUGUCAUGUUAUCGAUAUGUGAAUACAUAGCAUAUCAGAAGGCACACCCGGAGAACUGAAACAUCUUAGUACCCGGAGGAAGAAAAAGAAAAUUCGAUUCCCUUAGUAGCGGCGAGCGAAACGGGAAGAGCCCAAACCAACAAGCUUGCUUGUUGGGGUUGUAGGACACUCUAUACGGAGUUACAAAGGACGACAUUAGACGAAUCAUCUGGAAAGAUGAAUCAAAGAAGGUAAUAAUCCUGUAGUCGAAAAUGUUGUCUCUCUUGAGUGGAUCCUGAGUACGACGGAACACGUGAAAUUCCGUCGGAAUCUGGGAGGACCAUCUCCUAAGGCUAAAUACUCUCUAGUGACCGAUAGUGAACCAGUACCGUGAGGGAAAGGUGAAAAGCACCCCGGAAGGGGAGUGAAAUAGAACCUGAAACCGUGUGCUUACAAGUAGUCAGAGCCCGUUAAUGGGUGAUGGCGUGCCUUUUGUAGAAUGAACCGGCGAGUUACGAUUUGAUGCAAGGUUAAGCAGUAAAUGUGGAGCCGUAGCGAAAGCGAGUCUGAAUAGGGCGUUUAGUAUUUGGUCGUAGACCCGAAACCAGGUGAUCUACCCUUGGUCAGGUUGAAGUUCAGGUAACACUGAAUGGAGGACCGAACCGACUUACGUUGAAAAGUGAGCGGAUGAACUGAGGGUAGCGGAGAAAUUCCAAUCGAACCUGGAGAUAGCUGGUUCUCUCCGAAAUAGCUUUAGGGCUAGCCUCAAGUGAUGAUUAUUGGAGGUAGAGCACUGUUUGGACGAGGGGCCCCUCUCGGGUUACCGAAUUCAGACAAACUCCGAAUGCCAAUUAAUUUAACUUGGGAGUCAGAACAUGGGUGAUAAGGUCCGUGUUCGAAAGGGAAACAGCCCAGACCACCAGCUAAGGUCCCAAAAUAUAUGUUAAGUGGAAAAGGAUGUGGCGUUGCCCAGACAACUAGGAUGUUGGCUUAGAAGCAGCCAUCAUUUAAAGAGUGCGUAAUAGCUCACUAGUCGAGUGACACUGCGCCGAAAAUGUACCGGGGCUAAACAUAUUACCGAAGCUGUGGAUUGUCCUUUGGACAAUGGUAGGAGAGCGUUCUAAGGGCGUUGAAGCAUGAUCGUAAGGACAUGUGGAGCGCUUAGAAGUGAGAAUGCCGGUGUGAGUAGCGAAAGACGGGUGAGAAUCCCGUCCACCGAUUGACUAAGGUUUCCAGAGGAAGGCUCGUCCGCUCUGGGUUAGUCGGGUCCUAAGCUGAGGCCGACAGGCGUAGGCGAUGGAUAACAGGUUGAUAUUCCUGUACCACCUAUAAUCGUUUUA